This 372-nucleotide unclassified non-coding RNA is filed under the name uncultured Gammaproteobacteria bacterium. RNAcentral describes it as "contains 16S-23S intergenic spacer region". Lineage: Bacteria; Pseudomonadati; Pseudomonadota; Gammaproteobacteria. The record is from RNAcentral.
UCCGGUUUGUCACCGGCAGUCUCCUUAGAGUGCCCUUGCGUAGCAACUAAGGACAAGGGUUGCGCUCGUUGCGGGACUUAACCCAACAUCUCACGACACGAGCUGACGACAGCCAUGCAGCACCUGUGUCCAGAUUCCCUUUCGGGCACCCCCACAUCUCUGCGGGGUUUCUGGCAUGUCAAGCGUAGGUAAGGUUUUUCGCGUUGCAUCGAAUUAAUCCACAUCAUCCACCGCUUGUGCGGGUCCCCGUCAAUUCCUUUGAGUUUUAACCUUGCGGCCGUACUCCCCAGGCGGUCUACUUCACGCGUUAGCUGCGUUACCAAGGAAACGAAUCCCCGACAACUAGUAGACAUCGUUUAGGGCGUGGACUAC